Molecule: ribosomal RNA, 250 nt
Filed under: uncultured bacterium
Lineage: Bacteria
Description: partial 16S ribosomal RNA
Rfam family: Bacterial small subunit ribosomal RNA
Source: RNAcentral
CAAGGAAUUUUCGGCAAUGGGCGCAAGCCUGACCGAGCAACGCCGCGUGGAGGAUGACGGCCUUCGGGUUGUAAACUCCUUUUGCGGGGAUGAUGAUGACCGUACCCCGCGAAUCAGGCUCGGCUAACUCUGUGCCAGCAGCCGCGGUAAGACAGAGGAGCCAAGCGUUGUCCGGAUUGACUGGGCGUAAAGCGCACGCAGGCGGUGGGGCACGUGGGGUGUGAAAGCGGCCCGCUUAACGGGGCGAGGC